This 465-nucleotide ribosomal RNA is filed under the name Vreelandella stevensii. RNAcentral's name for it is "partial 16S ribosomal RNA". It matches the Rfam family "Bacterial small subunit ribosomal RNA", at positions 338 to 795 of the family's 1533-position model. Lineage: Bacteria; Pseudomonadati; Pseudomonadota; Gammaproteobacteria; Oceanospirillales; Halomonadaceae. The record is from RNAcentral.
CCUACGGGCGGCAGCAGUGGGGAAUAUUGGACAAUGGGCGAAAGCCUGAUCCAGCCAUGCCGCGUGUGUGAAGAAGGCCUUCGGGUUGUAAAGCACUUUCAUUGGGGAAGAAAGCCUUGGGGCUAAUACCCUCGAGGAAGGACAUCACCCACAGAAGAAGCACCGGCUAACUCCGUGCCAGCAGCCGCGGUAAUACGGAGGGUGCGAGCGUUAAUCGGAAUUACUGGGCGUAAAGCGCGCGUAGGCGGUCUGAUAAGCCGGUUGUGAAAGCCCCGGGCUCAACCUGGGAACGGCAUCCGGAACUGUCAGGCUAGAGUGCAGGAGAGGAAGGUAGAAUUCCCGGUGUAGCGGUGAUAUGCGUAGAGAUCGGGAGGAAUACCAGUGGCGAAGGCGGCCUUCUGGACUGACACUGACGCUGAGGUGCGAAAGCGUGGGUAGCAAACAGGAUUAGAUACCCCAGUAGUC